AUAAGAAGCCUAAUUAAUAAUUGUGGAGAAAGAAGUUCGUUUUACGAUAUUAAGAGAAUAAAGUGAGCAAGAAGAAGAUAUUCGACAAAUACAAAGAGAAAGAAGAGAAGUAAAAGAAAGAGAGAGAGAGAGAGAAAUAGAGAUAGUGUGAGAGAAAGAGAGAGAGGAAGAGAUAUAGAGAUAAAGAUAAUUACACAGCAUGUUUAAAUAUCAUUUAAUCUCUUUUAAUAUCCUUACUUGUGGAAUCUUCGAAAACGAUGAAAUGUGAAAUUGACUUCAAGAAGAAACAUAAAGAAAGACAGCCAUUAAAA
RNAcentral lists this long non-coding RNA (311 nucleotides) under Polistes fuscatus (common paper wasp). RNAcentral describes it as "uncharacterized LOC122516143". Lineage: Eukaryota; Metazoa; Arthropoda; Insecta; Hymenoptera; Vespidae. The record is from RNAcentral.